Molecule: long non-coding RNA, 8010 nt
Filed under: Solanum tuberosum (potato)
Lineage: Eukaryota; Viridiplantae; Streptophyta; Magnoliopsida; Solanales; Solanaceae
Description: long non-coding RNA (STUB_LNC010961)
Source: RNAcentral
AAUAACACAAAAACAAUCCAACAAAAGCAUACACACACCUGUGAAGAACUGAGGGAAUUUCACUGGCAAAAUGACAGCUUCCUGCAAUGCCUGUUUAGCACUCUCCAAUCCAGCAACAUCAUUCCACUUCACAUUAGGUUUCUCUCUAACAAUUGCUGAAUUAAGCCCAGCCCUUAGCUUAGACUGCUCAGGAUCCUCCCCAUCCUCACCAUCCUUAGGCUUAGUCUUAGGCUUAGCAAUCACAGCUGCAUCUCCUCCAUUUGGACCAGGCCCACUCCCACCCUCAUCCAACACAGCCCUAAUCUCCUCCGCACGGCGUAAAUACUCUGUAAAUUUCUGGGUAAUUGCCUCCUUAAUCUUAGGAUUCUUCUCGUACUUCAAAUGGGUCUUGAAGUACUCCAAUGCAUUCAUAUACAACGGAAAUGCCUUGGCAUAGUUUCCACUAUUGUCCUCUUGCACUGCUUGCCUUACGUAAUCAAUUGCUUGCUCCUUGAAAUUGCUAUACAUCUUCGAUCAUAUAGAAAAAAAAAACCCACAAAAUUAACCAAGCAAAUUUCAGGGUUUUGAUCAGAACUCAAAAGGGUGUCCGCAAAACCACAAAACUAACCAAGAAAAUUAAUGGGUUUUCAUCAGAACUCAAAAGGGUGUUCGAAAAAAGUUGAUUUAAGAAAAAAAAAUCAUAUAAACAGUGUUCUGAGUAAUGGAUCUUUUUGAAGAUUUUGAGCUUUUUUGGGUGGAUUAGGAACCCUAAAAAUUGGGGAUUUUGGUUUUGAUUUAAGAAAAAGAUUGAUUAGAGAUCGAAGGUUGGAUUAUGGAAGAAGAAAACAUUUGAAAGAAUCGUAAUUUGUGAGUUUGAACGUUGAAAUUUACAGGGGAAAGUGUUUUUGUCAUACACCAAGGGCUGCUGUUAAGGAACGGAAAAAGGUCAAAAAUGUUGCUAAUUAAAAAUGAAAUGACUCAAAAAUAUAUCUCACUCAUAACUCAUACAGUUCAUUUUACUUGUUACGUAUUUUUAAAAUAGAUUUUUAUUUUACAAAUUAUGCAAAAUAGCAAAUAUUUAAAUCAUAUUAAAUAUUAUAGUUACACACCGCUAUAGUUUUGCUCAAUCUUGCUAUUAGCAUGAUUUGUAUAAUUUAUCUUAUUUGUAUAAUUCCAGAAUUUGUACACUUUGAUUUCUGAUUGUAUAAAAUUCAAAAUUAUAUAUAUAUUUACCCUAGUUGUUUUGUAUACGAUUUAUGAAAAAAUCAUAAUAAAUUACCCUAUUUAUAUAUUGGCAAGCGAAAUAUACAAAACGGAGUUUUGAAAAAUUUCUAAAUGUAUAAAUUCAGAAUUUGUAUGGACUAACCCUAUUUGUGUAUACAAACGGACGAAAAAUAUGCAACCACAACCUCCAUAGGUAACAAAUCUAUAGCUAUGGAGCGCAAUUAUCAAAACUAUAGAUAUAGAACCUCAUUGUCUAUUAUGUUUCCUAUUUCCGAAAUUUUUUGUCGAUAAUCAUUUUCUUUAUGGGUGUGUCAAGUCAAACAGUGACAAAUAAAAAAUCAGCAAAGGGAUAUUUUAUUUUACUAGAAAAGAGUGUUGGCCAAGAGCCUAAGACUAAGAACAUCUUUUCAAAAUGAAGAUCAGUUCCAUCUCCACUACAGCGUACCACCUUCAUUCAAUAUUGAAAUUAGAAUUAAAAGGUCAAAUACACACUUGAAGGCGUUACUGCUAUUCUUGUUUCCUAUGGAUGAUGACACAGCUCGACGUGUGACCUCCUUAUCACAUGACAACAACUUUACUAGUUAAGCCGAGGAAGCUCCCUCGGCACGUGAGUUUUAACUACACUCUAAAUAAGUUGGCCACAAGAAAAGAGAGGUUACCAGCUUUGUUGUUACUAUUAGCAGCACUUGCUGACAAAUUGUGAAUUAACUGCCUGCAAAUAGAAUUGUAAAAGGAAUACAACAAAGAGACUAGCAAAAUGUUCUGUCUUGACAUUAAUAAAUACAUGCAAAGCUAAAACUAAUACAAUCCAAGAAGGUAAACAAUGACAAUUUCCCAUUUGAAGAGCCUUUGAAUAACGCAAAUUUUUCAGACAAGUAGAGGGGAGAAAGAACACAAAUCAUGGCAACUCCAGGUGUAGCAGUAUACAUCAAUCUCAUCAACCUUCUUCUCCAAACUCCUUUGUGAAUCUGUCAUGCACUUCAAGGUCGGAUUUACUAACUGUUGGCCUUUGACGAGCAAGAACCUUAUCAAAGUCUGUCUUUGUAAUGGGGGGCGGUAUGAUCUGCAAAGGCAUUAAUCAGCAAGAUGCUUAACUAGUCCUGCCCGUUAAAGAGGACAAUUUAUCCAAAGCCAAAUUAGAACUUCAUACUAAAACAUUACUAGAUGAUUCUAAUAUCAGCUACUGAGACACGGGUCUGUCGCAAAUAGCCUAUCUACCUUCAUAAGGUAGGGGUAAGGACACUAUCCUCCCCAGACCCCACUUGUGGGGAUCACACUGAGUAUAUUACUGUUUGAUUCUAAUAUUAGCUACUAAUUCUUCCUUUUUCGGGGUAAUCAAGCUAUUCAGAAUUGAGUCAUUGACACAUAGGCAGAUGUAGUUCAGUAAAGGCACAAUAUCUUCUUACAUUUUAGUUCAGACUUCAGUAUAACCAUAUGAUGUGCAAACAGUAACGUUAGAAUCACAUUUAAUUAUUGCAUUACUAGUGACUUGAAAUAAGUCAAGUUUCCAGACGUGUGCAGUUGUAGGCCCCGGCCCCAAUAUAUUCCAGCUAAAACUCAUACAAGCACAAGAUUUGGCUAAGUGACCAGAUUAAAAAUUAAUUAUGGCAGUAAUCUCGAACUAUAAAUGUAUCCCAAAUAUCUACCUGGGAUGCAAGUCCUUUAGCAUCAAGCUCCUGCAUAGUUGUCUGCACAGCACCCUGUUGCUUUGGUCCGCAUGGUAUCCAGGUACCAUUAGAAGUCUGAGUAAAGAACACAGCAUCUUGUGUCUUACGUACGGGUUCAAAUAGCACAUCCUUGACCUGUCCAAGAAGAGAAGGUAUAUAAAUAUAUUAGGAGAAUAAAGAGGAAUUGCCCCCUUUUUUCCUUCAGUGUUUAGCAAGUUCAAGUGGAUUGGUGUAGAAGAAAGGGUCUCUUCCAACUACAAACUCACAAACAACAUGUUGGGCAUAAAGUCAAAUUCAUUAGGGUCCAGACUUACACAAACAGAAACAUCUGAACCAGAAAAACCUUCUGUCUUACGGGCCAGGUCUUCAAAGUCACUCUCGCUCAAGUUAUGGGGGGUAUCACCUAAAUGAACCUGCACGUGUAACAAGCCAAUCUAAAUAACUCUAGCUCUCACAAGUCGACUUGCAGUAUAUUUCCUUUUUUUUUUUUUGGAUGACAAGGGAAACCCGCAGCCGCUACCCUUUGGGUGCGCACAGGGUAAAACCCCCGCUCCUAUGCAAUAGCUCGCAAACCACAUAGGAGAGGUAACCCGCACUAGGCAAGCCUGGUGCGACGAGCUCGACCCAGAAGGCAAAACCCCUUGCUUUCGCUGGCAAGGGGUUUCGAACUUGAGACCUCCAACAUGAAAGUUCCAAGCUCAAACCACUGGGCCACCCCGAAGGGUUGUAGUAUAUUUCCUUUUUGAACUUCACUUUCCAAGAAAAAUCACAGAACAGGAUUUACUUUGAACAUGUGUUGCCGUGCCUUCAAAUCUGGGAGCGGAAUGUAGAUACGCUUAUCAAAUCUUCGCCGUAUAGCCUGUAGAGGACAAUUUCCGUCAGCAAUAAAUUUCUAAGAUCCACAACUUUAAAGUGCAGAUCAUUCUUCACCUGAUCUAGGGCAUAGGGUGUAUUUGUUGCCGCAAGUACAAGAACUUUAUCAUCAUUGUGACCAACACCCUGAAAAAAAAAAAAAUAAGAAAAAGAAAUCUAUAGCCGGGGGGUUUCUCUUCCUCUUUUCUUUCUGAUAGGUUGAAGUUGGUUAUGACAGUUCAAGGAACCACAUAAUAGCUAUGAUAGAUCAAUUACCUGCAUCUGCACAAGGAGUUCUGUUUUAAUACGUCGAGAAGCUUCACUUUCGUUUCCUUCUCCUCGCUGCCCACACAAGGAAUCAAUUUCAUCAACGAAUAUAAUGGAGGGAGCGCUUUCACGAGCCAUUUGGAAAAGGUUUGAAACUAGCUUUUCACUUUCACCCAUCCACUUGGAUACAAGGUCUGAUGACGAGACGCUGCAUGAAAAUAGCAGUUGGCACUCGCCAACUUUACAGCGUAAGUUCUUGAAAAUGGGAAACUGAAAAAAUAGCUGACAAAGAGCAGACACAUGACGACUAUAUUCAUGCAAGCAACUCAUGUUUAUAUGCAUCCAUCAAGAUGGUUACGUGCAAGUUUAAAAGAGAAAUCAAUAGUGCAAAUGGAAGAUUUAGUACCACUGAGAACCGCAGAGAUUAGAACAUUUGCAGGUAUAGGAUCAUUCGACUAUCGAGGACACAGGCAUCUUGAAAUCUCCCACAUAAUGGCAGCAGAGAAUAUCAAAAAAUCAGGGGAAAGGCCAUUAUACAUAUUACUUUUUGCUUCUAGAAAGACAUCAACAUAUUGCAUGAUUUCACAUGCUAUCCCUUGGUUUUCACAACUCAGGAAAUGUUUGGCACCCCAAUAACCCCCACAGGAGUCCGGUGACAGGACAGAUUUUUUUGUUGUUGGCGGGGUUAGCAUAAAAGAACAACUACUACAAAGCAAAAGCUCUACAUGUUGACCUCCAUUGGAAGUCUUUGCAACAAAACAAAACUGAUGGAUCCUGAUUGUAUAAUCCUACUGAAAUUUUAUUAUUGUAAGCUUUGAAUUGUAAUUGAAAUUACUGCAAUCACAAACAAGGCCUUAGCUGAAGGUUCAAUUUGACUCUGCUCUACAUCAACAUAUUGCAUGAUGUACUGGUCUGAUCUUAAGAUUCAUGGGUUAGCAUCACUUGCGUUGGCAGUAAGUGAGAUGUGUCUAACAAACUGGAGAUAUACAAGAUGAUCUCAUCCAGAGGUUAAAAUCAGGAUAAUGCUGAGAUGCAGAACCAUAAAAUCCAAAAAAAAUUGCUCAUUGGUCAUCCCCAUAUGCUAGACCUAGACUAAAGCCUUCACAUCCUGAAUACUUCCUAAGAUGCACAUGCAAAGCCAUUGAUAUUAUCACUAAGGCUGGAUGUGUUCCUCUAUGGCACGGCUGCUCUAUAAAAUUGGUACCAAAACAAAACAUUAAACACCCUUGGAUACCAGAGUAUGUUUAUCAACCAAUUCCAACAUCACAUUCUGUCCUAGAUGUAUAGAUCUGCAAGUGAUACACCACCGAGGGGGACAACCCAGAUAUGACAUUUAUGAAGGAAAAGAACCUCAUGGAAAGAAGAUAUUCAAAAGAAUCACAAAGCCUCAACAAAAAUAAAGCUAUUAUAAAUACUACUCCCUCCGUCCCAAAAUAAGUGUCACCUUAGCAAAAAAAAUUGUCCCAACAUAAGUGUCACCUUAGGAAUUCAAGACAAAAUUAGUAUGUUUUUUCAACUAUAUCCUUAUACUCCAUCUUCUUAGUAGUGUUCAGUUUUCAGGAGAUAUUUAUUAAAUAAAGUAGUUUAGUAAACUACACAUUAUUUUUAUUGAUUUCUUAAUGGAUGUGAUUUUUGCCAAGGUGACACUUAUUUUGGGAUGGAGGAAGUAUAAUUAAUAAGCAAUCACCUCCCACAACAAAUAACGAGCAACACCCAUGAAACUACAAAGCCCUUAACUCAUGGAUCAUGACCAAGAUGUUAAAUUAGCAGGAGUUAAUUACGAUUUAAACAAAACAAAACAUUCUGGACAUAUUGAGUAUAUAAAGAGGCUUACAUCAGCCAACUCAAAAGGCACAAGAACCAUCCCACACUCCAAAAAGGAAAACACAGGCAAUGUAAAAAUUUCCUAGUUGACUUGGAUAUUGAACCACAUUCUGUAUUUAGUGAUUGAGCCCUUUAUGUUCCUUACUACUUCUGAUUCUUUGAUUAAGGAGCCAGAUUACAUAAAAACAUCAUCUAUAAAAAGAAGAAAAUCAACACAAAUUAUGAGAAAGAUAGGUCAUAAAAACUAUACAGAUAACAAAUUAUGGAAAGGAAGGCCAAAAGAUAAACUAUACAGAAAAUAAAAUAAAGAACCUAACAACCAUAUGGCCAAAAUCGGUUGCAUCUUCUCCCCAGACUUCUUUUUAGCAUUGAUAUUCUAUAAUUUUCCUUUAUAAUCUUUAGGGCUGCUAAGAAGAUUCUCAUUUUGCUCAAGAUCUUUUUCGUUUACUAAUGACAGGUGAUAUAAUGUACCAAAUUUGCAAUUUAAAUACAGCCUUUGUUUUUUUCCAAAAUAAAAGCGGCAGUGAAUCAGGAAAGAUCUGAAGUUGAUAGCUCCAUUUUGCAGUAAAAUGGACACAUUAUAAACAAACACAAUUGCAAGUAGGAGGACAAAUACCUAAAAAAGGUGGAUUCUGCUUCAGUAGCAACAGCUUUGGCCAAGUAAGACUUCCCUGUCCCAGGAGGACCAUAAAGAAGAAAAGCUCUCCAUGGUCGUCUCUUGCCUGUAGGUACAUGAGAAAGGAGAAAAAAGCACUCAAAUUGGUGUGAACAAAAGCACCCAAAAAAUUACUCAAGUUAUGUGAUGCACACAUGGAUAAACUAUUCAACCAUCUCUAAUGUACCACGAAGAGAAAAAGAACAUAAUAUUCACAUGUUUUUUGCCUUAAUGAUUUUUAUCCCACUACAACUCUUUUGGUUGAGCUAGGAGGAGUUGUAACAUGAAUCGUGGGCCAACUAUAAAGAGAAAUUCGAAAUUGUGGGAUUUACUCGGAGAUCACCUCUCGUACCAAUGCAAUUAACCAAUCAGUCUCCCAAAUAUAUAAGACAAUUUGCUCACAACCACGCAGUCACAGGCAAAGAAUACCCACUUUCUUUGCCAAACUUCACAUUUCAAAACGCACACAGACAAAUGCUUAAAAGUUGUAAGGCAUUUCGAAUGUAGAGAAAAUAACUCAUCCACAACAUCACUAAUACUCUAAGAACUCCUACACAUGCUCAACAGAAAGCAUUUUCAUUUUCUACUCAUAUUCAGUUAUCCACAGACUAACCUGGCACUUAGUGUUCCCCAAAUUGAAACGGUUUAAAACAUUCAAUAGGUAAAGACUCAAACUUACUUCUUUCUAUAAGUUAAAAACUAUAACUAUUGGAACCCAUGUAACCCUGACAUAAGUGAAAAUCUUUCUAACUAGGAGUCGAAAGUGUUUGGUUUGCAACAUAAAACUCUGUGUAUAACUGCCUGUAGUUCCCACUUCCCACUUCCCACUGCAUAAUAAGCACUAUAAUCCCUUUAACAACACCUAACAUCUUAUUGACUUAUUUCUACUUCCUUUACCCAAAAGAAAUAAGGCAUAAUACAUAAACAAUACACUCAAACUUGAUCUCACCUAGCAAGUAAGCACUCCAACUUUGAGAGUGCACACCAAGACACCUCGGCUGACUUAGGAGAUGUCUAGAUGAUCAUUUUGUAAGUUGGAGUGUUUAACGGACAUAGUGGAGACGAGUUGAAGUGUCUAGAUGUGCAUAUGCAAGGUUGGAGAGCUUACUAGCUAGCUAAGACCAAGUUUGAGCUUCUGUUUAUGUAUUAUGCCAAAAAACAAUUGUGUUUAAGCUACUUCAUAAUCACAAAGCAAACCAUCAAUUAAAGCAACAAUCUUUACUAGCAAAACACCACAAUAACACAAAAACAAUCCAACAAAAGCAUACACACACCUGUGAAGAACUGAGGGAAUUUCACAGGCAAAAUGACAGCUUCCUGCAACGCCUGUUUGGCACUCUCCAAUCCAGCAACAUCAUUCCACUUCACAUUAGGUUUCUCUCUAACAAUUGCUGAAUUAAGCCCAGCCCUAAGUUUAGACUGCUCAGGAUCCUCCCCAUCUUCACCAUCCUUGGGCUUAGUCUUAGGCUUAGCCAUCACAGCUGCAUCUCCUCCAUUUGGACCAGGCCCACUCCCACCCUCAUCCAACACAGCCCGAAUCUC